GGAGGGAUGUCCGAAUUGGCAAGGAGCCGGUCCUGAAAACCGGUGAAAGGCGCAAGCCCGUCUGGGUUCGAGUCCCAGUCCCUCCGCCA
Molecule: transfer RNA, 89 nt
Filed under: Candidatus Aerophobota bacterium
Lineage: Bacteria; Candidatus Aerophobota
Also listed under: 2 other names
Description: Candidatus Aerophobetes bacterium tRNA-Ser
Rfam family: tRNA
About the family: Transfer RNA (tRNA) molecules are approximately 80 nucleotides in length. Their secondary structure includes four short double-helical elements and three loops (D, anti-codon, and T loops).
Source: RNAcentral